This 73-nucleotide transfer RNA is filed under the name Camelus ferus (Wild Bactrian camel). It matches the Rfam family "tRNA". From Rfam's summary of the family: Transfer RNA (tRNA) molecules are approximately 80 nucleotides in length. Their secondary structure includes four short double-helical elements and three loops (D, anti-codon, and T loops). Further hydrogen bonds mediate the characteristic L-shaped molecular structure. tRNAs have two regions of fundamental functional importance: the anti-codon, which is responsible for specific mRNA codon recognition, and the 3' end, to which the tRNAs corresponding amino acid is attached (by aminoacyl-tRNA synthetases). tRNAs cope with the degeneracy of the genetic code in two manners: having more than one tRNA (with a specific anti-codon) for a particular amino acid; and 'wobble' base-pairing, i.e. permitting non-standard base-pairing at the 3rd anti-codon position. Lineage: Eukaryota; Metazoa; Chordata; Mammalia; Artiodactyla; Camelidae. The record is from Rfam by way of RNAcentral.
AAGGGUAUAGCUCAACUGGCAGAGUGCAUGCUUAGCAUGUGUGAGGUCCUAGGUUCAAUCCCUGGUAUCCCCU